AUUGAACGCUGGCGGCAUGCUUUACACAUGCAAGUCGAACGGUAACAGGCCGCAAGGUGCUGACGAGUGGCGAACGGGUGAGUAAUGCAUCGGAACGUGCCCAGUCGUGGGGGAUAACGCAGCGAAAGCUGUGCUAAUACCGCAUACGAUCUAUGGAUGAAAGCGGGGGACCGUAAGGCCUCGCGCGAUUGGAGCGGCCGAUGUCAGAUUAGGUAGUUGGUGGGGUAAAGGCCCACCAAGCCAACGAUCUGUAGCUGGUCUGAGAGGACGACCAGCCACACUGGGACUGAGACACGGCCCAGACUCCUACGGGAGGCAGCAGUGGGGAAUUUUGGACAAUGGGCGCAAGCCUGGUCCAGCAAUGCCGCGUGCAGGAAGAAGGCCUUCGGGUUGUAAACUGCUUUUGUGCGGAACGAAACGGUCUGGGUUAAUACUCUGGGCUAAUGACGGUACCGUAAGAAUAAGCACCGGCUAACUACGUGCCAGCCGCCGCCGUAA
Molecule: ribosomal RNA, 498 nt
Filed under: uncultured bacterium
Lineage: Bacteria
Description: partial 16S ribosomal RNA
Rfam family: Bacterial small subunit ribosomal RNA
Source: RNAcentral